This is a non-coding RNA of Equus quagga, 385 nucleotides long. NCBI's taxonomy places the organism in Eukaryota, Metazoa, Chordata, Mammalia, Perissodactyla, Equidae. The record is from the annotation of a RefSeq genome assembly.
GAGGUGAGCUAGAAAGGAGCCCUCAGACAGCUCGGCUUAAGCCAUGGCCUCUGUACGCAUCUCAACACUGGUGAUUCUCUUCACACUGGGUACUUUGAGCCUCGCUAAGACCACCCAGCCCAUCUUCAUUGACUCAUAUGAAGGACAAGAAGUGAACAUAACCUGUAACCACACCGACAUUGCUACAAAUGAGUACAUCCUCUGGUACCGACAGUUCCCCGACCAGGGACCACAAUUUGUUAUUCAAGGUUUUAACACAAAAAUGGAAAAUGAAGUGGCAUCUCUGUUCAUCCCUGACGACAGGAAGUCCAGCACCCUGAGCCUGCCCCGGGCUACACUGAGAGACACCGCUGUGUACUACUGCAUCGUGACUGCCACACAGUGA